Molecule: ribosomal RNA, 271 nt
Filed under: uncultured archaeon
Lineage: Archaea
Description: partial 16S ribosomal RNA
Rfam family: Archaeal small subunit ribosomal RNA
Source: RNAcentral
CAGCGCCACGAGUGGCAGUCAGUAUUAUUGGGCCUAAAGCGUCCGUAGCUGGACAAGUACAUCCCUUGUGAAAUCACCGAGCUUAACUCGGUGGCGUGCAGGGGACACGACUCGUCUUGGGAGCGGGAGAAGUGAGAGGUACUCGAGGGGGACCGGUAAAAUGGUAUAAUCCCUUGAGGACCACCGAUGGCGAAGGCAUCUCACCAGAACGCGUCCGACAGUGAGGGACGAAAGCCAGGGGAGCGAACCGGAUUAGAGACCCGAGUAGUCC